UGGGGAAUCUUCCGCAAUGGGCGAAAGCCUGACGGAGCAACGCCGCGUGAGGGACGAAGGCCUCUGGGUUGUAAACCUCUUUUCUCAAGGAAGAAGAUAUGACGGUACUUGAGGAAUAAGCCACGGCUAAUUCCGUGCCAGCAGCCGCGGUAAUACGGGAGUGGCAAGCGUUAUCCGGAAUUAUUGGGCGUAAAGCGUCCGCAGGCGGCUUUUCAAGUCUGCUGUUAAAGCGUGGAGCUUAACUCCAUCAUGGCAGUGGAAACUGAAAGGCUUGAGUAUGGUAGGGGCAGAGGGAAUUCCCGGUGUAGCGGUGAAAUGCGUAGAUAUCGGGAAGAACACCAGUGGCGAAGGCGCUCUGCUGGGCCAUUACUGACGCUCAUGGACGAAAGCCAGGGGAGCGAAAGGGAUUAGAUACCCCUGUAAGU
RNAcentral lists this ribosomal RNA (425 nucleotides) under uncultured cyanobacterium. Its description in RNAcentral is "bacterial SSU rRNA". It matches the Rfam family "Bacterial small subunit ribosomal RNA", at positions 355 to 794 of the family's 1533-position model. Lineage: Bacteria; Bacillati; Cyanobacteriota. The record is from RNAcentral.